This 253-nucleotide ribosomal RNA is filed under the name uncultured bacterium. Its description in RNAcentral is "partial 16S ribosomal RNA". It matches the Rfam family "Bacterial small subunit ribosomal RNA", at positions 524 to 776 of the family's 1533-position model. The record is from RNAcentral.
UACGUAGGUGGCAAGCGUUGUCCGGAUUUACUGGGCGUAAAGAGCGCGCAGGCGGCUGGUCAAGUCCGAUGUGAAAUCUCCCGGCUUAACUGGGAAACUGCAUCGGAAACUGAUCGGCUUGAAGGUGGGAGAGGGUAGUGGAAUUCCCGGUGUAGUGGUGAAAUGCGUAGAUAUCUAUCGGAACGCCGAAGGUGAAGACAGGUCGCUGGGCUUGUACUGACGCUGAGGAACGAAAGCGUGGGGAGCAAACGGG